This 489-nucleotide ribosomal RNA is filed under the name uncultured bacterium. Its description in RNAcentral is "bacterial SSU rRNA". It matches the Rfam family "Bacterial small subunit ribosomal RNA", at positions 30 to 506 of the family's 1533-position model. The record is from RNAcentral.
AUUGAACGCUGGCGGCAGGCCUAACACAUGCAAGUCGGACGGUAGCACAGGGGAGCUUGCUCCUUGGGUGACGAGUGGCGGACGGGUGAGUAAUGUCUGGGAAACUGCCCGGUGGAGGGGGAUAACUACUGGAAACGGUAGCUAAUACCGCAUAACGUCUUCGGACCAAAGUGGGGGAUCUUCGGACCUCACGCCACCGGAUGUGCCCAGAUGGGAUUAGCUAGUAGGUGGGGUAACGGCUCACCUAGGCGACGAUCCCUAGCUGGUCUGAGAGGAUGACCAGCCACACUGGAACUGAGACACGGUCCAGACUCCUACGGGAGGCAGCAGUGGGGAAUAUUGCACAAUGGGCGCAAGCCUGAUGCAGCCAUGCCGCGUGUAUGAAGAAGGCCUUCGGGUUGUAAAGUACUUUCAGCGGGGAGGAAGGCGGUGAGGUUAAUAACCUCGCCGAUUGACGUUACCCGCAGAAGAAGCACCGGCUAACUCCGU